Molecule: ribosomal RNA, 118 nt
Filed under: Pteropus alecto (black flying fox)
Lineage: Eukaryota; Metazoa; Chordata; Mammalia; Chiroptera; Pteropodidae
Source: RNAcentral
GUCUACGGCCAUGCUACCCUGAGCAAGCUUGACCCGUCUGAUCUCGGAAGCUAAGCAGGGUGGGGCCUGGUUAGUACUCAGAUGGGAGGCCACCUAGGAAGACCAGGUGCUGUAGGCG